UACGGAGGAUCCGAGCGUUAUCCGGAUUUAUUGGGUUUAAAGGGUGCGCAGGCGGAAGAUUAAGUCGGUGGUGAAAUUUUGCAGCUCAACUGUAAAAGUGCCAUUGAUACUGGUUUUCUUGAGUGUGGAUGAAGUAGGCGGAAUUUGUGGUGUAGCGGUGAAAUGCAUAGAUAUCACGAGGAACUCCGAUUGCGCAGGCAGCUUACUAAACCAUAACUGACGCUGAGGCACGAAAGUGUGGGGAUCAAACAGGAUUAGAUA
This 261-nucleotide ribosomal RNA is filed under the name uncultured prokaryote. RNAcentral describes it as "partial 16S ribosomal RNA". It matches the Rfam family "Bacterial small subunit ribosomal RNA", at positions 524 to 784 of the family's 1533-position model. The record is from RNAcentral.